UAGUCUGCAGUCACCUGUAGGAGAAAGGAGGUGUGUUUGGGGCUACAGUGCUAGGUAACCUGCAAUUAUUACUCCCUGGAAGAAGGGAAUUUAGGCUGGUAAACCCAGAAGGCUGGGGGAACCAUAAGGUAGAGCUGAGAUGUAGGAAGGUGUCCAGGGGAAGAGCAACACAGUCUAGCAGUGAGCAGGUCACUGUCCCUAGAGAUAGGAUCCAUGGACUAGAACCUGGAGUAAAUGGUUGGGCUGGCUUCCCCCAUGCCCCACCAACCACUGAAGAAGUAACACAGUCAUGGCAGUGAAGGGAAGUCUGCCAUUUUGUAUAGAGAGACUUGCCAAACCUAGAGGGCUGAGUGUGAAGGACCACCCUGAGUCUCAGAGAAAAAGAAACAGGGAGAGGAACUGACAGAAAGGGGUGUUGGAGCUGCAAAGACCUAAUCCCCAGAGCAACCAGGAAGAGGUACCCUAGCUAAUGUCUCAGUCAAGGGCAAAGCAUCAAACACCUCUCCAGGAUGCAAAAUAACAGUUAGGUCCCACAGGAUGCUCAUUUUUUUGCUAUCUUGAAAAUAAAGUGCAAACCCAACAGUUACCGACAGCUGCAGAUGAAUCCAGAUCAUAUAACUUGGAGGCUUAAAGGGAAAGAUACCAUAAUUCUCCUUGGGCGGAAAACCAGAAAAACUCCAUCUCUGAUGUGUGACCUGCUCCUACAGGCUUCUGAGGAUUACAGAGAGACUGCUAGUAUCCCCCUGUCUUUAAUUUCAUUGGGCAGAGGCAGACCUUGAAAAUAUCAUUUCUAAAUUGUGCUGAUUGUGCAAUAUCCCAGCACGCUUCUUGCAAACAAAGAAAGCGACAGGCCUGCAACUGAUUAACCACCAUGACUUGAGAGCAUCACUUGUGUCCGCCUCAGUCUGUUUAAUGCCCAGACAGGAAAAUGACCAACAAUUUAGUUGAUUCAAUCAGUGUACUAACCUUGACCGUUCCAGAAGGGAAAAUAUGACAACAAAUCAGCCCCUGUGCUUCCCCCACCUUAACUAUAAACCCCCUAGAGUCCCACUAAAUGCUGCUUAGUCUCUUCCCGGAGAGAUGCAGCAAAUUUGGCUGUAUGGGGAAUUUGCUGCUGCUCUUUUCUCUCUGACUGCGCCUGGGAAGCAUCCCCAGUGCAAUCUUACAUAUUCCCAAUGUACAGUAGGGCCAGGACUCACUAGAAAGC
Molecule: long non-coding RNA, 1207 nt
Organism: Mauremys mutica (yellowpond turtle)
Lineage: Eukaryota; Metazoa; Chordata; Testudines; Geoemydidae
Exons: 3
Source: RefSeq, a predicted model, not a curated record